UGUUGAUAUGUAUCACAACACUGUUGUGCUGCUACAAUCUUAAGUCGAAAACACAUCAGUAGUGAUUCAUUAGAACUUUAUGUAAUCCACUAUACUUUGAGCAGGUAAUAUAUAUGAUGUGUAUUAUCUGGCUUUAGACUCACAUAUGAUAACAUUUUGUUUUAAGAGCUGUUAUAAUCUAUCAACAGGCAUUCUGGAGAACUCCUCAGAAACCCUUUCGACAGAGGUUUUAUAUGGUCAAACCUUGUUCCAAGGAGAUGAAAUGUGAUGUGGAGUUAAGUACAUAUGCUAUUAGAGACAUGGAAGAGUAUAAGAAUUUCUGUGAUCGACCAAAGGAUCAACGUCCACUUCCAGAAGAAGUGAUUCGGGUGAGUCUGCUCUAGCAUGAUAUAAUCUUCUGUAUGGAACAUCAAUCUUCAAUUCCUUUGAGUUAUGCUAGUUUCUUGAAUAGAAAAUUUAAGCUUUGUUAUUUCAGGAGCAUGCUGAAAUGUUAAUUUCUAUGAAGUGGUAUGGUAGAUUUAAAAUUAUAUCUAUGGUAUUGGAGCUGUAGGCCUUUUUGUGAUCAACAAAAGAAAAGAAAUUUCCACUUGGCUGAAAGUAAUCUGUUUAUCAUGAUUGUUUAGAGAUUUUACU
This is an RNA transcript of Amaranthus tricolor (Joseph's coat), 633 nucleotides long. It is a transcript of the gene named chromophore lyase CRL, chloroplastic-like, with no coding region annotated. The record is from RefSeq and is a predicted model, not a curated record. Lineage: Eukaryota; Viridiplantae; Streptophyta; Magnoliopsida; Caryophyllales; Amaranthaceae. The transcript is spliced from 3 exons.